This 827-nucleotide ribosomal RNA is filed under the name uncultured marine bacterium. Its description in RNAcentral is "bacterial SSU rRNA". It matches the Rfam family "Bacterial small subunit ribosomal RNA", at positions 60 to 935 of the family's 1533-position model. The record is from RNAcentral.
AGUCGAACGAAGUAGCAAUACUUAGUGGCAGACGGGUGAGUAACAUGUAGGUAUCUGCCCUUUGGCCUGGAAUAACACGAGGAAACUUGUGCUAAUACCGGAUAAGUCUUUACGGAGAAAGCUUUAUGCACCAUUGGAUGAGCCUGCACUUGAUUAGUUUGUUGGUGGGGUAAUGGCCUACCAAGACUGUGAUCAAUAGCUGAUUUGAGAGGAUGAUCAGCCACAUUGGGACUGAGACACGGCCCAAACUCCUACGGGAGGCAGCAGUGGGGAAUCUUGCACAAUGGAGGAAACUCUGAUGCAGCGAUGCCGCGUGAGUGAAGAAGGCCCUUGGGUUGUAAAGCUCUUUCGUCGGGGAAGAAAAUGACUGUACCCGAAUAAGAAGGUCCGGCUAACUUCGUGCCAGCAGCCGCGGUAAUACGAAGGGACCUAGCGUAGUUCGGAAUUACUGGGCUUAAAGAGUUCGUAGGUGGUUGAAAAAGUUAGUGGUGAAAUCCCAGAGCUUAACUCUGGAACUGCCAUUAAAACUUUUCAGCUAGAGUAUGAUAGAGGAAAGCAGAAUUUCUAGUGUAGAGGUGAAAUUCGUAGAUAUUAGAAAGAAUACCAAUUGCGAAGGCAGCUUUCUGGAUCAUUACUGACACUGAGGAACGAAAGCAUGGGUAGCGAAGAGGAUUAGAUACCCUCGUAGUCCAUGCCGUAAACGAUGUGUGUUAGACGUUGGAAAUUUAUUUUCAGUGUCGCAGCGAAAGCGAUAAACACACCGCCUGGGGAGUACGACCGCAAGGUUAAAACUCAAAUGAAUUGACGGGGACCCGCACAAGUAGUGG